This is a long non-coding RNA of Suricata suricatta (meerkat), 592 nucleotides long. RefSeq lists it as uncharacterized. The transcript has 2 exons. NCBI's taxonomy places the organism in Eukaryota, Metazoa, Chordata, Mammalia, Carnivora, Herpestidae. The record is from RefSeq and is a predicted model, not a curated record.
CCGGGGCCCGGCCGCGUUCGCCGGGGUGGCGGGGAGGGGCGGCGGGGAGGAAGCGGCGGGAGCCGAGACUUCGGCGGAGCCGCCCCCAGAGCGCCCUCUAAUGAAGGCUCGGCAGCCGCCGCCCGCGUUCCCGAUCCCGCCGGUCCUCGGGUCCGGCCCUUGGGGCUGCUGGGUCCCUAGGCCGGCGGGACCUCGCCGCUCCCAGUUCCCAGAAAGAGGGCGGCUGAGAACGGUCUGGUGAAAGAAAGAAGAUUCACUUUUAUGCUGUAUGAAAGAAUACCUUCUAUUCCCAUUCCCUCUGGUGACGAAAUGCAUGAAAGCACAGAGCCUGGCUGAAAGAAUUGAUUAGAAUUCCUUUCCAUCUAUUAUUAAUUUGUUUUUAUUUAUAGAUGUUAUUUAUCUCUUUCACUAAUAUAUACAGUGUGUGGGGCAUAAAGAGGCAUAGACCUACCAAGAAAACUUUCAUAUAAUUUCAACUAAUGUGUAGCAGUAGAAAAGUUAGAUAUGCCCUUUCUAUUCCUUUGUAUUUUCUCUGAAAAUAUAGGUACCAAGGUAAUAACACCUUUAAAUAAAUCGUGUGAGAGAAAAGAUA